AAAAGAAACCAACAGGGAUUGCCUUAGUAACGGCGAGUGAAGCGGCAACAGCUCAAAUUUGAAAUCUGGUUACUUCGUAGCCCGAGUUGUAAUUUGUAGAGGAUGCUUUUGGUGAGGUGCUUUCUGAGUUCCCUGGAACGGGACGCCAAAGAGGGUGAGAGCCCCGUACAGUUAGAUACCAAUCCUUUGUAUAGCUCCUUCGACGAGUCGAGUAGUUUGGGAAUGCUGCUCUAAAUGGGAGGUAUAUCUCUUCUAAAGCUAAAUAUAGGCUAGAGACCGAUAGCGCACAAGUAGAGUGAUCGAAAGAUGAAAAGCACUUUGAAAAGAGAGUUAAACAGCACGUGAAAUUGUUGAAAGGGAAGCGCCUAUGACCAGACUUGUUUCUAUCAGUUUUGGUAGUUUUCGGACUGCUUUACUCUGUUAGUACAGGCCAACAUCAGUUUGUUGUCGGGGAGAAAGGUUUAGGGAAUGUGGCUCUUUCGGGAGUGUUAUAGCCCUUUACAUAAUACCCUUCGGCAGACUGAGGA
Molecule: ribosomal RNA, 527 nt
Filed under: Huntiella moniliformis
Lineage: Eukaryota; Fungi; Ascomycota; Sordariomycetes; Microascales; Ceratocystidaceae
Description: eukaryotic LSU rRNA
Rfam family: Eukaryotic large subunit ribosomal RNA
Source: RNAcentral